This 61-nucleotide transfer RNA is filed under the name Stenotrophomonas sp. Its description in RNAcentral is "tRNA-Val". It matches the Rfam family "tRNA", at positions 6 to 65 of the family's 71-position model. Rfam says of the family: Transfer RNA (tRNA) molecules are approximately 80 nucleotides in length. Their secondary structure includes four short double-helical elements and three loops (D, anti-codon, and T loops). The record is from RNAcentral. Lineage: Bacteria; Pseudomonadati; Pseudomonadota; Gammaproteobacteria; Lysobacterales; Lysobacteraceae.
GUUAGCUCAGCGGUAGAGCACUACCUUGACAUGGUAGGGGUCACAGUUUCGAUCCCUGUAC